RNAcentral lists this ribosomal RNA (468 nucleotides) under uncultured bacterium. Its description in RNAcentral is "partial 16S ribosomal RNA". It matches the Rfam family "Bacterial small subunit ribosomal RNA", at positions 28 to 507 of the family's 1533-position model. The record is from RNAcentral.
GACGAACGCUGGCGGCGUGCUUAACACAUGCAAGUCGAACGGAAAGGCCCUGCUUUUGUGGGGUUCUCGAGGGGCGAACGGGUGAGGAACACGUGAGUAACCUGCCCUUGACUUUGGGAUAACUUCAGGAAACUGGGGCUAAUACCGGAUAGGAGCUCCUGCUGCAUUGUGGGGGUGGGAAAGUUUCGGCGGUUGGGGAUGGACUCGCGGCUUAUCAGCUUGUUGGUGGGGUAGUGGCUUACCAAGGCUUUGACGGGUAGCCGGCCUGAGAGGGUGACCGGCCACAUUGGGACUGAGAUACGGACCAGACGCCUACGGGAGGCAGCAGUGGGGAAUAUUGCACAAUGGGCGGAAGCCUGAUGCAGCAACGCCGCGUGCGGGAUGACGGCCUUCGGGUUGUGAACCGCUUUAGCCUGUGACGAAGCGUGAGUGACGGUAAUGGGUAAAGAAGCACCGGCUAACUACGUG